Molecule: long non-coding RNA, 1630 nt
Organism: Clupea harengus (Atlantic herring)
Lineage: Eukaryota; Metazoa; Chordata; Actinopteri; Clupeiformes; Clupeidae
Source: Ensembl
CACACACACACACACUCAAACCUCCCCCUCUCUCUCUGCAUCAGUGCACCAAAAGACACUCACAUGCUGUGAUUGAACACUGUGAUCACAAGGGGCGGGAACCAGGGGCCUUUCAAUUCAAGAGUAGAGAUUCAGUUAGAUCAUGACAUUGCAAUUCUGGGGUUCAUCAGAAUAUCAAUAUCGCUGGCUUUAAAAAAAAAAUUGCAGGCUGUUCACAUCUUCAUGUUAAAGUACAUCAAUUGGUUCAAUCUGUCAUUCACAAUUUGCCAAAAAAUAUAUUGCAAUUCUGAUUUAAGGUGACCCCACACCCCAUUUGUGGACUACCCCCUCCUGUGACCACUGUGUCUAGCUUUCUCCACCUUCAAAUGUACAUCGCUUAUGUCUGCUGUGUUUUAGUUCUGAGUGCCAGCCAAGCAUCUUUAGCUUGAGUGCCAUUUCUGCUUCUCGGGGAAGUCAGUGCUGCUGCUGCUGCCGUUGCUGCUUCGUUUCAUUCAGCCUUUAAGAACUCGUUUUUUCUCAAGUGCGUUCACUGCAUAACCGCCUUCUCCAUUACAAACACACACGUCUAGAUGUAUAUAUUGAUGUAUAUGGAAUCAUGCAGUAUUUCCAUGUCCGAGGUCCUACAGCUUUGCUCACUCUGCACCAUUCCCCGCAUGCCACAACUCGUGCCACGGUUUACCAAAAUGGGCUCCUGUGGUGAAGACGGACUAGAGAGUAGCUGUCAGUGCUACCAGGUUAGGGGCGCCAGAGUCCUCCUGGCCCUGUGGACGGCUAAGUCUUUAGGUCUCCUACGAUACAAAAUGGAAGUCUUUCGUUGUCCCACAGAUGUCGUAUGUUCGCUGUAAAACACUUCAGUCAACAGUUAGUAAACCUGUCAAAGUUGCAGCAAGAAGGCUUUUUUUUUUUUUUUUUGGUGCUGAAAAAAAAAAAAAAACAUCCUAGGAGAGCCUGUUGUCAGAGCAGUGCAUUAAACACUCCUUACUCCUCACACACUCUGAACUAGUGACAGGUUGGUUUUAAUGUGCAGGGGCACUCCACGGGGGUUAGUUCACAGGGGGGUGGCACUGCCGGGGCAAAGAGCACAGGCGAGGAGGACCGGGCACACCCCUGUGCCUAGGCCGUGCGACAGCAGCUGGCUGAUGCAGUGAUCUGGCUGGGGUGUGGCAGCGGGUUCGAGCCGAGCCAAGCCAAGCCAAACCCUUCCAGAUGCCUGAGGCAUGACGCCGGAACCCGGGAAGCCCUCGACUGAGUGCACGGGGGUUGGUGGGGCAGGGUGAGCAGCGCAGCCUUGUAUGGGAAUAUUGCGAAGUGUACUUGCUCUUGCUGUGCCAAUGAUGCGAUCCAGCCAGGUUCCCCUCUCUCAGGCCUCGAGCACCAGCUCAGUCGGACGGCUACGGCGGCCUCUCCUGACCCACGCGGCGGAUUGGAGGAGGCGUAGGAAGGGUGCGGUGCGGCGGGGAGACCUGCUGGAGCUCAGGGUUGGGUUUUCUCAUUUUUAACCACCAGGAAGGAGAAAAAACAAACAUCACUUGUGGGGAAAAAAAAAAAAUAUGACAAGAAAAUCUAAACAAAAAUGAAAACUUAAAUGAGAUCAUGCAAUGUCUGAUUUUACCAUUAAAACAAAAAAUUA